ACACCUGGGCUCUCCGGGUACC
This 22-nucleotide microRNA is filed under the name Caenorhabditis elegans. RNAcentral's name for it is "cel-lin-4-3p". Its record names the gene cel-lin-4-3p. Lineage: Eukaryota; Metazoa; Nematoda; Chromadorea; Rhabditida; Rhabditidae. The record is from miRBase by way of RNAcentral.